This 615-nucleotide ribosomal RNA is filed under the name uncultured Legionella sp. Its description in RNAcentral is "bacterial SSU rRNA". It matches the Rfam family "Bacterial small subunit ribosomal RNA", at positions 242 to 849 of the family's 1533-position model. Lineage: Bacteria; Pseudomonadati; Pseudomonadota; Gammaproteobacteria; Legionellales; Legionellaceae. The record is from RNAcentral.
UAGCUAGUUGGUAGGGUAAGGGCCUACCAAGGCGACGAUCGGUAGCUGGUCUGAGAGGAUGGCCAGCCACACUGGAACUGAGACACGGUCCAGACUCCUACGGGAGGCAGCAGUGGGGAAUAUUGGACAAUGGGGGGAACCCUGAUCCAGCAAUGCCGCGUGUGUGAAGAAGGCCUGAGGGUUGUAAAGCACUUUCAGUAGGGAGGAGGAUUUGGAGGUUAAGAGCUAUCAAAUUGGACGUUACCUACAGAAGAAGCACCGGCUAACUCCGUGCCAGCAGCCGCGGUAAUACGGAGGGUGCGAGCGUUAAUCGGAAUUACUGGGCGUAAGGGUGCGUAGGUGGUUGGCUAAGUUAUCUGUAAAAUCCCUGGGCUUAACCUGGGCAGGUCAGAUGAUACUGGUUGACUCGAGUAUGGGAGAGGGUAGUGGAAUUUCCGGUGUAGCGGUGAAAUGCGUAGAGAUCGGAAGGAACACCAGUGGCGAAGGCGGCUACCUGGCCUAAUACUGACACUGAGGCACGAAAGCGUGGGGAGCAAACAGGAUUAGAUACCCUGGUAGUCCACGCUGUAAACGAUGUCAACUAGCUGUUGGUUAUAUAAAAAUAAUUAGUGGCGC